AGCACUUACCGGGCUGAGGAGAGCGAGCAGCAGGGCUAAGGCGAACGGGGCGAAGGUGUUGGGGACCAUCCUGCAGCGGUCAGCGGCUUGUGGGUGAUGAGGCGGCGGCGUCGGGCUGCCGGGCGGCGAGGGGAGCCGAGAUGCUCUCUAUGAAUAGAGAGAGUGCCUAUUUACUCUGAAAUACUUGGCACAGUGAGUGGAGUCUGAAGCAUGGAAGAAGUGGCUAUUAUUUUCCCACUGCCUGUGUGCAGCUGUCAUUUCUGAGCAACACGUUCCUCGUUCCUCGCACAUCUCUGCUUCCAACCUUCCUGAUGGUCCGCCCCAGGAUUACAACAAGAAGAGAAUGGCAUGCCACCUCAUUCAGCCAAAACCUUAACGCUGUGGUUUGUAUUUGACUGAACGUAAGCACUGUGGCUUGUAUUAAGUCAUUGCAGAUAACUGGUAUGAUUAUUGUUGGGUUUCUUUUUCCUUUCUUUUUUUAACUGGGAGGAUGGCUCUUCCCCCGCCUCCCGUGUAUGAUUUGAAUAUUCAGUGAUGUCAUGUUGUUUGACCUCCGCUUUAACGCAAGGAAUGCCAAUGUUUUGGCUUUUGACCUGUGGAAGUAUGUUAGUGCUUAGUAAGAGAGACUGGCUUGAUGCAUCACAAUAAGCAAUCUAAAAUCUGGUAGUACCUUAAGAGAUACCUCAUCUUUUGUAUGCAGGCUUUCCCCCACUGCUGUUCUCCCUUGCUCCCCACUUCUUUCCAUGCCUCCAUAUGUAGGCAUACUUCCAUGCUAUGAUGCUGUGAUAGUAAAACAAGAUUCAUGAGAGGAAAAGAAGGUCUUCCAUGUAAUGCUCCAGUAGGACCAUUUUGCUGUAAAACUGCUACUUAUAUUCUGCCAGCAUUAUACUGCAUCUGGAAAAGUCAUUUGGAUGUCAUUUCUUCUACUUGAAAUUCUCCAAUAAAAUAAAUGAGAUUGUCUUUGAAAGAAAAAAUGAA
Serinus canaria (Common canary) is the source of this 978-nucleotide long non-coding RNA. RefSeq lists it as uncharacterized. Lineage: Eukaryota; Metazoa; Chordata; Aves; Passeriformes; Fringillidae. The transcript is spliced from 2 exons. The record is from RefSeq and is a predicted model, not a curated record.